GUUUGUAUGGUGUUUAGCACGUUAGGCUUUCAUUCUAAAGGAAAGGCACAAGCCUUUGCAAGUU
This 64-nucleotide transfer RNA is filed under the name Vignadula atrata. RNAcentral describes it as "tRNA-Glu". Lineage: Eukaryota; Metazoa; Mollusca; Bivalvia; Mytilida; Modiolidae. The record is from RNAcentral.